UGGGGUGUGAGGUUUGGGGUGGGCAUUGCCUUCUUAGGCGUGUGUGAUUAGAGAAGAGCCAACUCCUCUUAGUGAGAGAGCUAGAAUUUGUUCUAGGGUUUUUGGGUGAAAAAAAACCAAAGAGAAAGAAUAGUUCUACUUCCUCUUGUCCACCACCACAUCCUCCUCAUUAUCUAUUUCUAAUUUUGAAAGAGUCUGAG
RNAcentral lists this long non-coding RNA (200 nucleotides) under Elaeis guineensis (African oil palm). RNAcentral's name for it is "long non-coding RNA (EGUI_LNC056396)". The record is from RNAcentral. Lineage: Eukaryota; Viridiplantae; Streptophyta; Magnoliopsida; Arecales; Arecaceae.